Molecule: long non-coding RNA, 881 nt
Organism: Serinus canaria (Common canary)
Lineage: Eukaryota; Metazoa; Chordata; Aves; Passeriformes; Fringillidae
Exons: 3
Source: RefSeq, a predicted model, not a curated record
AGGGGACGUGGCGAAUCUGCGGGAUACAUCCCGUGCGCCGCGCGAGGGGCGGCCCCGCCCGCCAUUAGCGGCAGGGAAGCGCUGCCUCGCGGGGUGUCCCAGGGACUCCCGAGGCUCCCCAGACCCGCAGUGCUCAACACUACGCUCGUCCCCUUCCCCCGCGCCGGCAGCUCCUGUCACGGUGCCCCGAAUGCUGGCUGCCGGUGGCGAAUCUGCGGCGCAGAGCGGGCGCCCACGGAGGGCCUGCGGACGCUUCGUGCCCGCUGUGCUUUAGCGCCUUUCCCCCUCACGGGCUGCGCGCGGCCCCUCAGGGAGUUUGGCGCCUUUUUCCCCUCACGGGCUGCGCGCGGCCCCUGAGGGACGUUUGGCGCCUUUUUCCCCUCACGGGCAGUGGGCGGUCCCUAAAGCGCCCCGGUCCCCGGGCUGCUGUGAGGCCACGGAAAACGCUGCGGGGUCAUGUCCGAGCCCGAAUAAUAUCCCAUAAAAAGCAGCGAUGGAGUUAGGUGAACCGUCCGUCAGUGCUGCGGGGUCCUGGUCUGUGCAGAGUGUGGUGCCGAAAGGGCUGUUUGGAAUGGUAGCGCUUCCAGAGGCGGUUGAGUGGAGCAGGAUGAGCUCUGAGGGCAGCGGGAAGGUGCCGGUGUGUGGAAGAAUGUCAGAGGAAGGGGAUGGCGUUAGAGAUGGCUGUGAAGGCAGCGAGCUGGACCCCGGGUGUAAAGGGAACACCUGGCUAUGAGAUUUCUGAAGGCUGAAGCAGGCGCCGGUAGGUUUCAAUCUCCAUUUCCAGACGAGUCUUGAUGUCCAGGAGCUGUUGGUACUCCGCGUUCUGGCGCUCCAUGUCAGCCCUGACCUGGAAAAGCUGGGACUCCAGGUUCCCAAUCUGC